UACGUAGGGGGCGAGCGUUGUCCGGAAUUACUGGGUGUAAAGGGCGUGUAGGCGGGAUAUUAAGUCAGAUGUGAAAACCCACGGCUCAACUGUGGGAGUGCAUCUGAAACUGGUAUUCUUGAGUGCAGGAGAGGAAAGCGGAAUUCCUAGUGUAGCGGUGAAAUGCGUAGAUAUUAGGAGGAACACCAGUGGCGAAGGCGGCUUUCUGGACUGUAACUGACGCUGAGACGCGAAAGCGUGGGGAG
RNAcentral lists this ribosomal RNA (245 nucleotides) under uncultured bacterium. Its description in RNAcentral is "partial 16S ribosomal RNA". It matches the Rfam family "Bacterial small subunit ribosomal RNA", at positions 524 to 768 of the family's 1533-position model. The record is from RNAcentral.